ACCAUACCUCAGGAGAUACCUUACGUGCCUCUCCAACCGAGGUACAUAUAUAUAUCUGGAUUCUGUGCCCCUCUAAUAGGCUGGUCCACAGAACCCGCCUACUGCAGCAAGCUAAACCCACCAUACAAUAAAAUUUUAACAGCAUGACAAGGCUAAUAUAAUACUACCCAGCCUGCAAGGGUAAAAUAAAAUAAUUCAUACAAUUCAUAAAACACAGCCCAACCAAUCAAGCCAACACAAUAACAAUAUAACAUAAGCCAUCAAUUUCCAAUCAUAAAUUUGCAACAUGCCAGUGGUCUCCAAUUACUCUAUUUUCCAAAUCGUUAUUUCAUUUCAAGACAAUUUAUAAAGUCUUUUCAUUUAAACACAUUUUGUUUACAAAACAUAAAAAUUUACCAUUUUAACUCAUUAUCAUAAAAUUCACCAAAACCGAAUAAAAACAUACUUUAGAUAAUUAAAAUGAUGGUAAGGUUACUCACAAUGUCUAGAGUGGGGAUUUUCGAAAUACUCAGACUACUGGUCAUCGAAUGCAAUUCUCGGAGGACUCACCACCUUGACACAGUACAAAAUCGAGAAAUUCACCACAUUGGUACUAAAUUGCAAUUAAACUAAUUUAGACUACUAAUGCAUGAUAUGGAAUGCAAAAGGUCUAAAUUUUGCCUAAACACCGUAUUGACUUAUUUUGGUCUUUUACUCGAUAAAUUGAAAUACGCAUCCAAUUUAGCUCCCAUUGAUCCCAUUUCUUUUUCUAAUGCUUCAAAUCACCAAUGUCUAGCCAAAUAACCCAAAAAUCAGCAAAGCCACAUUCAUAUUCCUUCUUGGAAAAAUUCGACCAAAAUGGUGCAUCAUUGUCACAAUUUUUCGUACUGGAUUUUCUUUCCAUAAUUCAUUAAUUUCCAUAUCAAAAACCAUGAUUUCAUAAUCAAAUAACCUAAAAUAAUAUCACAUUCUUCCUCACCAUUGACUUGAAAAUUCAGCUAAGGCUAGGUAAUGGGAAAAAUGAAUGUUUUUUGUACAUAUUUUGUUUACUAACAUGCUAAACUAACACUAAACACUAACAUAUAUCAAAAUCAAAUCAAUUCAAAAAUUUUCUCUCUCUAGACACAUAUGACCAGCCAUGAAAUCACCAUGAAAACAUGCAAUUUAAUCAUGAAAAAUAAGGAGAAAUGCUUGGGAAUAAGAAAACUCAAGCUUAAUAGAAAAAAUCUUAC
RNAcentral lists this long non-coding RNA (1211 nucleotides) under Theobroma cacao (cacao). RNAcentral describes it as "long non-coding RNA (TCAC_LNC005519)". The record is from RNAcentral. Lineage: Eukaryota; Viridiplantae; Streptophyta; Magnoliopsida; Malvales; Malvaceae.